This 215-nucleotide long non-coding RNA is filed under the name Lathyrus oleraceus (garden pea). RNAcentral's name for it is "Pisum sativum (pea) long non-coding RNA (PSAT_LNC000087)". The record is from RNAcentral. Lineage: Eukaryota; Viridiplantae; Streptophyta; Magnoliopsida; Fabales; Fabaceae.
UAAAGAAUGAAAAAUAAUAAUAAUAUAAUAUAAUAAUUAAUAUUAAAAACACUCGAAAUCUUUUCUUUCAAAAUAUAAUCAUUAAUCAUUCUGAUUUGAUAAUAGAAUAUCUAAAUUGCAUUUAUUUCAAUUUAUUUCAUAAACAAAGAUAUACAUAAAAAUAAAAAAAUAAAAAAAAUAUGAAAUUUCUAUACUACCAUUAAUAAAAAAAUUCC